CGAAGGCCCAGCUCGCCGCGGCCCAGCCGUCGGUACAGGUGCGGCUGCAAGACCUCGCGAACGUUCUGUGCACCUGCUGCUCACCAGGACCACUUUGAUGAUAAGAUGCUUCUCGUAGGCGCUCUCCAGCCGGAAGAGCGUGGACCAGAUGACGUUGAACAGCGCGAAGACCACGCAGGACACGUCACGGCUUGUCUGUGUGCAUGUGGGGGACGGGGAGGUCACGGGUCCGUGAAGAAGGGGUGCCGUGGGGGUGCUGGCGGGUCCGUCCUGACCACCGCCCCAGUACCUGAUCCGCCUCGGUGAACGUGUAGAGGACAGAG
Molecule: long non-coding RNA, 323 nt
Organism: Ochotona curzoniae (black-lipped pika)
Lineage: Eukaryota; Metazoa; Chordata; Mammalia; Lagomorpha; Ochotonidae
Exons: 3
Source: RefSeq, a predicted model, not a curated record